CAACUCUCGCGGCCCGGUACCAAACAAUUCAAGGACCGGUACCGGUCCGAGGCCCGGGGGUUGGGGACCGCUGCUUUAGAGUAUGAACGUGUAGGAAGGAAGCAUGGAAAAAAGCUCUUGUAUGAAUGGGUAAAUGAAGCAAGUCGUAUGCAGUGCUUUGAGUGCUCCGGUAGAGUAAAAAAGUGCUAUAUAUAAAAUCCAGUCCAUUUACCAUCUGUGUGCAGAUUCACGUCUGUUCAAGUCUUUUUAAAGUCUUAUCAAAAAUAAAUGUCGAGAUGUUAAAAAAAACCCUCUAUGUUAUUACAAAUAAACCUCUGUUUUCACAGAACUGGAUAUACAUGCACAGUCCUAAUAUUUAUGGAGACUUAUUUGCUAUUCCAGCUAUCAGUGGACAUAGUGGAGAUUUGUAUUCUAUCUCCACCUUUCAUAGACCUGCCAAUGAGGAAAACAGCAAUUUUAAAAAAAGAAAAAAAAGAAAAAAAGAGCAGUUGAAGUGUAGGGAAAGUUUUAAUAAAAUCACAUCUCUAAUCCUGUAUCUAAUCUCCUUAUCAUUUCACCUGCAUCUGGCUCUAGAAUGCUGUGUGCAUGCCAGGAUGGAAGGAAUGCAUGAGGUACGCACAUUUUUCUAUAAAUGCCAUUUUAAUAUGGAACAUGCCAUCUCCAUUUAUGUGUGUGUGUGUGUGUGUGUGUGUGUGUGUGUGAGAGAGAGAGAGAGUGCGAGAGUGUGUGUUUGUGUGUGUCUCCAGUCCAGUCUCCUGUGUGUGUGCACAUAAAUAUUACUUCAGUAUGUCUAGGGACUGGAGACAUGAGUUCCCGAAGGUUUAUCCCAGUGAUUCCUUAAAUGAGAAAAGGCAACAGUUCCAUUUAAGAUUUAAUUCUGCAAAUAUUGAUGCAACUCAUCCAAAUUUAUGAGUGCUGGAGCAUUUAGUAGUAACCUGCACAAUAACCCUGGGACUGUGUUCAGACUGAACAAUCUGCAAUCAACCCAUUUCUGCCCAAUGGCUGCU
Molecule: long non-coding RNA, 1007 nt
Organism: Astatotilapia calliptera (eastern happy)
Lineage: Eukaryota; Metazoa; Chordata; Actinopteri; Cichliformes; Cichlidae
Source: Ensembl